CUACGGGGGGCUGCAGUGAGGAAUAUUGCACAAUGGGGGGAACCCUGAUGCAGCAACGCCGCGUGGAGGAUGACGCAUUUCGGUGUGUAAACUCCUUUUAUGAGUCAAGAAAAUGACGGUAGCUCAUGAAUAAGCACCGGCUAACUCCGUGCCAGCAGCCGCGGUAAUACGGAGGGUGCAAGCGUUACUCGGAAUCACUGGGCGUAAAGGACGCGUAGGCGGGAUGUCAAGUCAGGUGUGAAAUCCUAUGGCUCAACCAUAGAACUGCACUUGAAACUGGCAACCUAGAGUAUGGGAGGGGGAGAUGGAAUUAGUGGUGUAGGGGUAAAAUCCGUAGAUAUCACUAGGAAUACCUAAAGCGAAGGCGAUCUCCUGGAACAUUACUGACGCUAAGGCGUGAAAGCGUGGGGAGCAAACAGGAUUAGAUACCCUAGUAGUC
RNAcentral lists this ribosomal RNA (439 nucleotides) under uncultured bacterium. Its description in RNAcentral is "partial 16S ribosomal RNA". It matches the Rfam family "Bacterial small subunit ribosomal RNA", at positions 339 to 795 of the family's 1533-position model. The record is from RNAcentral.